Trichobilharzia regenti is the source of this 46-nucleotide non-coding RNA. Lineage: Eukaryota; Metazoa; Platyhelminthes; Trematoda; Strigeidida; Schistosomatidae. The record is from Rfam.
GUACUGCUGAAGAGUCACAGACUAGGAUGAAACAGCUGUCCAGUAC